RNAcentral lists this non-coding RNA (1082 nucleotides) under Phylloecus linearis. Lineage: Eukaryota; Metazoa; Arthropoda; Insecta; Hymenoptera; Cephidae. The record is from RNAcentral.
UUUUAAAAAAAAAUUAUUUAUGAUUAUUUAAUAUAAUAAUUUUAGUAAUUUAAAUUUAUUAUUAUUUUAAAUAAAAUUUUACUAAAAAUAAUUUUUAUUUAAGGUUAUUUUGUUUAUGUARAUUAAAUUAAUGUAAUAAUAUAUUUAAUUAAAGUUUAAUUCUGACUUAUAAAUUUAUUAUAAAUUUUUUAUAAUAUAUAAAUAUUUAUAAUUUUAAAUAUUUUUAAAUAGGAUAUUUGAAUAAUUGUUAUAAAUUGUAGUAUUUAAAAUUAAAUAAAAAUAAAAUUAAGGUUUGUUUUAGAAAUAUUUAUUUAAAAUGGAAAAAUUUUGUGCCAGCAUUCGCGGUUAGACAAAUGUAUUUAAGUAAAUUAUUUAAAUUUUGUAUAAUUAUUAUAUAUUAUUUAGUUAAGUUUUUUAGUUUUUAUUUUAAAAUAUUAAAUUAAGGUGAAAUUUUAUUAAUUUAUAGAUGUAAAAGUUAAUUUAAUUAUAUGAUAAAUUGUGAAAAUUUUAGUUAAACUAGGAUUAGAUACCCUAUUAUUUUAAUUGUAAAUUGUUUUAGUUUGUAUAAAAGUAAAUAUGAGAUUAUGUUUUAUUAAUAUUUUUAAAAAUAUUUAAUAUAUAAAAUUAGGUAGUAAGUGUUAUGGUCAUGAAACUUAAAGAAUUUGACGGUAAUUCAUUCAUAUUAGAGGAACUUGUUUUUUAAUUGAUGAUCCACGAUAAGAUUUACCUAAAUUAAUAUAAGAAUUUAUUUGUAUACCGCCGUUUUAAAAGAAUUUUUUUAGAAAUUUAAAUUUUUUAAAAAUUAUAUUUUAUUAUUUAAUUUAAUAAUAAUAAUUCAGGUCAAGGUGUAGUAUAUAUUUAGGUUAAGAUGAGUUACAAUAAAAUUUAUUUAUUUAUGGAUUUAAAGUUUUAAAAUAUUUUAUUGAAAGCGGAUUUAAAAGUAAAUUUAAAAAAUUAUUUAGAUUGAUAAGUGUUUUGAAUUAUGUACAUAUCGCCCGUCACUCUCGUUAUAAAAUGAGAUAAGUCGUAACAAAGUAAAAGUACUGGAAAGUGUUUUUAGAAUUAAUUAUUUAUAUUAAUAU